AUGUACCCCGCGUCCACUGCGGUUGUAAGCGCGCCGUCUGCGCCCACCUGACAGCUGCGCAGUCGUUUUGUUCGCC
Xanthomonas oryzae pv. oryzae is the source of this 76-nucleotide small RNA. It matches the Rfam family "Xanthomonas sRNA sX9". NCBI's taxonomy places the organism in Bacteria, Pseudomonadati, Pseudomonadota, Gammaproteobacteria, Lysobacterales, Lysobacteraceae. The record is from Rfam.